GGAGAGAUAUACCGAGGUUUUCACUCCAAACCCUUAUGUGAACCUACCUAUCGUUGCUUCGGCGGACUCGCCCCAGCCGGACGCGGACUGGACCAGCGGCCGCCGGGGACCAUCAAACUCUUGUAUUAUCAGCAUCUUCUGAAUACGCCGCAAGGCAAAACAAAUAAAUUAAAACUUUCAACAACGGAUCUCUUGGCUCUGGCAUCGAUGAAGAACGCAGCGAAAUGCGAUAAGUAAUGUGAAUUGCAGAAUCCAGUGAAUCAUCGAAUCUUUGAACGCACAUUGCGCCCGCCAGCAUUCUGGCGGGCAUGCCUGUUCGAGCGUCAUUUCAACCCUCGACCUCCCUUUGGGGAAGUCGGCGUUGGGGACCGGCAGCACACCGCCGGCCCUGAAAUGGAGUGGCGGCCCGUCCGCGGCGACCUCUGCGUAGUAAACCAACUCGCACCGGAACCCCGACGUGGCCACGCCGUAAAACACCCAACUUCUGAACGUUGACCUCGAAUCAGGUAGGACUACCCGCUGAACUUAAGCAUAUCAUAAAGCGGAGGAA
Molecule: ribosomal RNA, 550 nt
Filed under: Beauveria bassiana
Lineage: Eukaryota; Fungi; Ascomycota; Sordariomycetes; Hypocreales; Cordycipitaceae
Description: eukaryotic LSU rRNA
Rfam family: 5.8S ribosomal RNA (bases 173-326)
Source: RNAcentral